UUAAGCGACUAAGCGUACACGGUGGAUGCCCUGGCAGUCAGAGGCGAUGAAGGACGUGCUAAUCUGCGAUAAGCGUCGGUAAGGUGAUAUGAACCGUUAUAACCGGCGAUUUCCGAAUGGGGAAACCCAGUGUGAUUCGUCACACUAUCAUUAACUGAAUCCAUAGGUUAAUGAGGCGAACCGGGGGAACUGAAACAUCUAAGUACCCCGAGGAAAAGAAAUCAACCGAGAUUCCCCCAGUAGCGGCGAGCGAACGGGGAGCAGCCCAGAGCCUGAAUCAGUGUGUGUGUUAGUGGAAGCGUCUGGAAAGGCGUGCGAUACAGGGUGACAGCCCCGUACACAAAAAUGCACAUACUGUGAGCUCGAUGAGUAGGGCGGGACACGUGGUAUCCUGUCUGAAUAUGGGGGGACCAUCCUCCAAGGCUAAAUACUCCUGACUGACCGAUAGUGAACCAGUACCGUGAGGGAAAGGCGAAAAGAACCCCGGCGAGGGGAGUGAAAAAGAACCUGAAACCGUGUACGUACAAGCAGUGGGAGCACAGAGCAAUCUGUGUGACUGCGUACCUUUUGUAUAAUGGGUCAGCGACUUAUAUUCUGUAGCAAGGUUAACCGAAUAGGGGAGCCGAAGGGAAACCGAGUCUUAACUGGGCGUUAAGUUGCAGGGUAUAGACCCGAAACCCGGUGAUCUAGCCAUGGGCAGGUUGAAGGUUGGGUAACACUAACUGGAGGACCGAACCGACUAAUGUUGAAAAAUUAGCGGAUGACUUGUGGCUGGGGGUGAAAGGCCAAUCAAACCGGGAGAUAGCUGGUUCUCCCCGAAAGCUAUUUAGGUAGCGCCUCGUGAAUUCAUCUCCGGGGGUAGAGCACUGUUUCGGCAAGGGGGUCAUCCCGACUUACCAACCCGAUGCAAACUGCGAAUACCGGAGAAUGUUAUCACGGGAGACACACGGCGGGUGCUAACGUCCGUCGUGAAGAGGGAAACAACCCAGACCGCCAGCUAAGGUCCCAAAGUCAUGGUUAAGUGGGAAACGAUGUGGGAAGGCCCAGACAGCCAGGAUGUUGGCUUAGAAGCAGCCAUCAUUUAAAGAAAGCGUAAUAGCUCACUGGUCGAGUCGGCCUGCGCGGAAGAUGUAACGGGGCUAAACCAUGCACCGAAGCUGCGGCAGCGACGCUUAUGCGUUGUUGGGUAGGGGAGCGUUCUGUAAGCCUGUGAAGGUGUACUGUGAGGUAUGCUGGAGGUAUCAGAAGUGCGAAUGCUGACAUAAGUAACGAUAAAGCGGGUGAAAAGCCCGCUCGCCGGAAGACCAAGGGUUCCUGUCCAACGUUAAUCGGGGCAGGGUGAGUCGACCCCUAAGGCGAGGCCGAAAGGCGUAGUCGAUGGGAAACAGGUUAAUAUUCCUGUACUUGGUGUUACUGCGAAGGGGGGACGGAGAAGGCUAUGUUGGCCGGGCGACGGUUGUCCCGGUUUAAGCGUGUAGGCUGGUUUUCCAGGCAAAUCCGGAAAACUAAGGCUGAGGCGUGAUGACGAGGCACUACGGUGCUGAAGCAACAAAUGCCCUGCUUCCAGGAAAAGCCUCUAAGCAUCAGGUAACAUCAAAUCGUACCCCAAACCGACACAGGUGGUCAGGUAGAGAAUACCAAGGCGCUUGAGAGAACUCGGGUGAAGGAACUAGGCAAAAUGGUGCCGUAACUUCGGGAGAAGGCACGCUGAUAUGUAGGUGAAGUCCCUCGCGGAUGGAGCUGAAAUCAGUCGAAGAUACCAGCUGGCUGCAACUGUUUAUUAAAAACACAGCACUGUGCAAACACGAAAGUGGACGUAUACGGUGUGACGCCUGCCCGGUGCCGGAAGGUUAAUUGAUGGGGUUAGCGCAAGCGAAGCUCUUGAUCGAAGCCCCGGUAAACGGCGGCCGUAACUAUAACGGUCCUAAGGUAGCGAAAUUCCUUGUCGGGUAAGUUCCGACCUGCACGAAUGGCGUAAUGAUGGCCAGGCUGUCUCCACCCGAGACUCAGUGAAAUUGAACUCGCUGUGAAGAUGCAGUGUACCCGCGGCAAGACGGAAAGACCCCGUGAACCUUUACUAUAGCUUGACACUGAACAUUGAGCCUUGAUGUGUAGGAUAGGUGGGAGGCUUUGAAGUGUGGACGCCAGUCUGCAUGGAGCCGACCUUGAAAUACCACCCUUUAAUGUUUGAUGUUCUAACGUGGACCCGUAAUCCGGGUUGCGGACAGUGUCUGGUGGGUAGUUUGACUGGGGCGGUCUCCUCCUAAAGAGUAACGGAGGAGCACGAAGGUUGGCUAAUCCUGGUCGGACAUCAGGAGGUUAGUGCAAUGGCAUAAGCCAGCUUGACUGCGAGCGUGACGGCGCGAGCAGGUGCGAAAGCAGGUCAUAGUGAUCCGGUGGUUCUGAAUGGAAGGGCCAUCGCUCAACGGAUAAAAGGUACUCCGGGGAUAACAGGCUGAUACCGCCCAAGAGUUCAUAUCGACGGCGGUGUUUGGCACCUCGAUGUCGGCUCAUCACAUCCUGGGGCUGAAGUAGGUCCCAAGGGUAUGGCUGUUCGCCAUUUAAAGUGGUACGCGAGCUGGGUUUAGAACGUCGUGAGACAGUUCGGUCCCUAUCUGCCGUGGGCGCUGGAGAAUUGAGGGGGGCUGCUCCUAGUACGAGAGGACCGGAGUGGACGCAUCACUGGUGUUCGGGUUGUCAUGCCAAUGGCACUGCCCGGUAGCUAAAUGCGGAAGAGAUAAGUGCUGAAAGCAUCUAAGCACGAAACUUGCCCCGAGAUGAGUUCUCCCUGACUCCUUGAGAGUCCUGAAGGAACGUUGAAGACGACGACGUUGAUAGGCCGGGUGUGUAAGCGCAGCGAUGCGUUGAGCUAACCGGUACUAAUGAACCGUGAGGCUUAACCUU
Molecule: ribosomal RNA, 2904 nt
Filed under: Escherichia coli
Lineage: Bacteria; Pseudomonadati; Pseudomonadota; Gammaproteobacteria; Enterobacterales; Enterobacteriaceae
Description: bacterial LSU rRNA
Rfam family: Bacterial large subunit ribosomal RNA
Source: RNAcentral